This 603-nucleotide small RNA is filed under the name chicken gut metagenome. The record is from RNAcentral.
AUAAAAAACUGGUGGUGCAGUAUUCUAGUCAGCAAACGACCUUUUGAAGGCGGGGCUAAAAGACCGUCGACGGGCAUAUCGAUGAAGUUUCUUGUGCUGGCUUUCGUUGCCCAAACGGGGGCUUGUGCUGGAAGUUAAGAUUGGUGGGUAAGGCGUAAUGGCAUAUGUUUAAUCCCCAUCAUUCGCGGAGACUCUACAGGGUGGUUGACGAACAAAAUCGGCAAUUACUCUCUGAGAUUAAACCUGCUAUGCGGUGAAGUUAAAAGCUGUGUACAGAGUAGCUUGUUUUGAGUGGAAUUUUGGGAGUAAAGAACGACUACCGCUUGUUGGCCGACAACGGGCAGUUGACUGCUUUACGAAAUGAAUUUUGCAAAAGAAACUAAAAUCUGUCGUUUGUUGCAAAGGAAAUCUUCUAGACUGCAAAUCAGGCUUAUCGGAGAUUAUAGUACGGACUAAGUGGCGAUUCAGUUAAGCUCUCGGUGACGACGCUUACACAAAAUGAAAAGGAAACUGCUUCUUCGGCGACGGGAAGUUUUUGUGUGGGAAACCCUACUGAACCUAUGCCGUAAGGUUUAUCCGAUAGGUCACCACCUUUUUUUAUUA